This 450-nucleotide ribosomal RNA is filed under the name uncultured bacterium. Its description in RNAcentral is "partial 16S ribosomal RNA". It matches the Rfam family "Bacterial small subunit ribosomal RNA", at positions 354 to 796 of the family's 1533-position model. The record is from RNAcentral.
GUGGGGAAUUUUGGACAAUGGGCGCUAGCCUGAUCCAGCAAUGCCGCGUGCAGGAAGAAGGCCUUCGGGUUGUAAACUGCUUUUGUACGGAACGAAACGGUCCGGGUUAAUACCCUGGGCUAAUGACGGUACCGUAAGAAUAAGCACCGGCUAACUACGUGCCAGCAGCCGCGGUAAUACGUAGGGUGCAAGCGUUAAUCGGAAUUACUGGGCGUAAAGCGUGCGCAGGCGGUUUUGUAAGACAGGCGUGAAAUCCCCGGGCUCAACCUGGGAAUUGCGCUUGUGACUGCAAGGCUGGAGUGCGGCAGAGGGGGAUGGAAUUCCGCGUGUAGCAGUGAAAUGCGUAGAUAUGCGGAGGAACACCGAUGGCGAAGGCAAUCCCCUGGGCCUGCACUGACGCUCAUGCACGAAAGCGUGGGGAGCAAACAGGAUUAGAUACCCGUGUAGUCC